CCUACGGGGGGCAGCAGUGAGGAAUAUUGGUCAAUGGACGCAAGGCUGAACCAGCCAAGUCGCGUGAGGGCAUAAGGCCCUAUGGGUCGUAAACCUCUUUUGUCAGGGAGCAAAGGCGUCCACGAGUGGACGAAAGGAGAGUACCUGAAGAAAAAGCAUCGGCUAACUCCGUGCCAGCAGCCGCGGUAAUACGGAGGAUGCGAGCGUUAUCCGGAUUUAUUGGGUUUAAAGGGUGCGUAGGCGGAGUGUCAAGUCAGCGGUAAAAUUUCGGGGCUCAACCCCGUCGUGCCGUUGAAACUGACACCCUAGAGUGAGUGAGAAGUAAGCGGAAUGCGUGGUGUAGCGGUGAAAUGCAUAGAGAUCACGCAGAACGCCGAUUGCGAAGGCAGUUCACCGGACUGCAACUGACACUGAGGCUCGAAAGUGUGGGUAUCAAACAGGAUUAGAUACCCUAGUAGUC
RNAcentral lists this ribosomal RNA (460 nucleotides) under uncultured bacterium. RNAcentral's name for it is "partial 16S ribosomal RNA". It matches the Rfam family "Bacterial small subunit ribosomal RNA", at positions 338 to 795 of the family's 1533-position model. The record is from RNAcentral.